This 478-nucleotide ribosomal RNA is filed under the name uncultured Planctomycetales bacterium. Its description in RNAcentral is "bacterial SSU rRNA". It matches the Rfam family "Bacterial small subunit ribosomal RNA", at positions 364 to 832 of the family's 1533-position model. Lineage: Bacteria; Pseudomonadati; Planctomycetota; Planctomycetia; Planctomycetales. The record is from RNAcentral.
UUUCGCAAUGCCCGAAAGGGUGACGAAGCGACGCCGCGUGUAGGAAGAAGGCUUUCGGGUUGUAAACCACUGUCGGGAGUUAGGAAAUGCAGGUGCGUUAAUAGCGCACUUGCUUGACUAAGGCUCCAGAGGAAGCCACGGCUAACUCUGUGCCAGCAGCCGCGGUAAUACAGAGGCGGCAAGCGUUGUUCGGAAUUAUUGGGCGUAAAGAGCACGUAGGCGGCCUUGCAAGUCAGUUGUGAAAGCCUUCCGCUUAACGGAAGAACGGCAUCUGAUACUACAGGGCUUGAGUACGGGAGGGGAGAGUGGAACUUCUGGUGGAGCGGUGAAAUGCGUAGAUAUCAGAAGGAACGCCGGCGGCGAAAGCGACUCUCUGGUCCGAAACUGACGCUGAGUGUGCGAAAGCUAGGGGAGCAAACGGGAUUAGAUACCCCGGUAGUCCUAGCCGUAAACGAUGGGCACUAAGUAGAGGGGUUUU